CCAACGGCCCUCUUUAGGGCCACAAAUACCUCAAUAAUCCUGAAUU
Caenorhabditis brenneri is the source of this 46-nucleotide non-coding RNA. Lineage: Eukaryota; Metazoa; Nematoda; Chromadorea; Rhabditida; Rhabditidae. The record is from Rfam.